AUGGGGGCAGAGAUCCUUCCAGCCAACUCCAUUGUCAUCAGUAAUGGUGUUGUUGCUGUUCUUGCUUGGUACAUGUUGGGUACAGAAUUCAGAAGUGCAGAUACAUAUUUUGCUGAGCUCCAGAAAGUACAGCGCAUAGGUGUGUGUUUUUCUCCUAGUGAAGUUACAGCAAUUUUGCAAAUAUGGCAAGGCCACAUAUGGGUUAAUAUGGUGCUGGAGUUUGAUGGAUUCCAUGUAACUUUUGGGAUUGUUACUAUCACGUUCUGGACACACUUCCAGUUGGGCAUGCUUCCUCCAUUCCAUUGCAAGGAUUUGAUCUUCUCGAGGUAUGCAAGUGUAGAUAAGAUGAUGAUGAAAGCUGGACAUGUUAUUCAAUAUGGUCUGGAGCAUAACCAAUGA
RNAcentral lists this ribosomal RNA (399 nucleotides) under Triticum aestivum (bread wheat). Its description in RNAcentral is "partial small subunit ribosomal RNA". Lineage: Eukaryota; Viridiplantae; Streptophyta; Magnoliopsida; Poales; Poaceae. The record is from RNAcentral.